GGGAUGUGAGGAGUGGUCAAUACUCGCAUACGAUGCGAGAUGGGUGCCCGCCUGCCUGUUACGACAUAGGGCACUCCCAUUUUUACCAUCUGAUCCC
Ipomoea triloba (trilobed morning glory) is the source of this 97-nucleotide small nucleolar RNA. RefSeq annotates it as small nucleolar RNA Z279/snoR105/snoR108. NCBI's taxonomy places the organism in Eukaryota, Viridiplantae, Streptophyta, Magnoliopsida, Solanales, Convolvulaceae. The transcript has a single exon. The record is from RefSeq and is a predicted model, not a curated record.